Molecule: long non-coding RNA, 3246 nt
Organism: Diceros bicornis minor
Lineage: Eukaryota; Metazoa; Chordata; Mammalia; Perissodactyla; Rhinocerotidae
Exons: 3
Source: RefSeq, a predicted model, not a curated record
CCCAUGGCUCAGGGAGACUCGGGGCCGCCGCGCUCCCUCCUUGCGCUGCGUCCCCGUCGGAAAGCCCGCGGCCCGAGGAGCACCCAGAGCCAGGGUCCGCCGCGGGGCGUGCAGGCGGCGGAGUCCCUGGGCUCGGACCGGGCACCGCUGCCCAGAACGCCAGGCGGGGAUUAGUUCAGCUCGCAGGUGACGCCCGCAGCCGGUGCUUCCUCCAUGUUGGACAACGCCAGGCAAAACCUUUGCAGAAGACAACUCCCCAACGCCACCUCAGCGCCCCGAGCCGGGGAGAAGCAGAUCUGAGCGGUGCCAGCCGGGCGCCGCCCGCCCCUCCCACCGCGCCCCGCCUCCUCGCCCGCGCCCUCGCAGUGCGCAUGCCCCUCUCGGAACAGGUGAUGUUCGCGCCCGCGCCCAUGCCGCUCUGCGUCUCUCCGUAUCCUUCUUCAUUCUCAGCACCGAUUUAAAGGGGCCCGGCGAGAGUACAGCUGAAAACCGAGACGAAGCAGCCGACGUUUCUUUCAGGCGUAUUUCAGGUUAAGGAUGCCUUAACCUGAGUUUUAGCGGACUACAUUCAAGGAGGGGCGAGGAGGGGCUGGAGGGGAAGUGUCUGCUUCCAGCUUUGGCUCAUGGGAUUUGUAGUUUAAAUUUUAUUUUAUUUUUUUUUAGGGAGGGUUUUAAAAGAUCCUAGGAAUGGCUUCAGGUAACUGAAGAUGAACAGGAGAAACCUCUGAUACCUAUGGCACAAAUUUCCCAGAAGGAGCUAAAACUGGCACCUUUCGUUUAGAACUUUCCCAGAACAAUUAGAUUAAAACCCUACAUGUGACAUCAGUAAGCAGGAGCAAAUAUCAUCAGAAAACAGAAAAAUGGGAUAUAUGGUGUGAAGAGUAAAUGGACUGUGAAAACAAGAGAUCUGAUGGUGACACUUGGGAAGCAUUUUGGUUGUUGACUUUCUUAAAUAACUUUGCUUUUGGGACCUAUAUAACUCCCCAGUGGAUAGUUGUAUGUCAUAGCUGCACAUCCUUCUAGUUGCUGUCUGUGGGAUGCGGCCUCAGCAUGGCCAGAGUAGCGGUGCGUUGGUGCGCGCCCGGGAUCCGAAUGCGGGCCGCCAGUAGCGGAGCGUGCACACUUAACUGCUAAGCCACGGGGCCGGCCCAGGAUAGUAGAUUUUAACGUCAGAAUUACAAGACCCAAAGACAUGAAAGAGGCACUUGGGAAUUAGUGUAGACUUUUCUCUGAAGCUUCAGCCAAAGGCAUCAGCAAAAUGGUUGCCAUCAUCAGAAAUGACUUUUGAAGAAAAAGGUAAAAGACACAGAUUUACUCUGUUCAAAAUGGUAGUGUACCUGCAUGUGUAAUAUGGGGUACAAUUCUGGUCAUUGUGCAAAAUGUAUAACAGAGUUAGAGAGGCACAGCAAAUCAAAGAAAAAGAGGUCAAUCAUUUCAAUCUAGAUGAUUGAAGAGGGAAAUCAAGAAAGGUUAGAGCCUCUUACUGAAGAAUAUGAACUUGAAAUAUCCACUCAAAUCUGGUAAACUAAAACUAAAGAGCUUUUUGGAUACAUGGAAAAGACGUGCUUAAAAAAAAAAAACAACAGGAUAUAGUACGUGUAUGGAUUUGUACAUCUCAUAUUGGGAUGAAGGAUGCUAAGGCUUCACCAACAUCAGUUUUCUCCCCUUUUGGGCUGGUAGCUCGACCACAGUUGCCAACUUCUCUUACAGUUAUAUGUGGCCCUGUGACCCAGCUCCACCUAGUGAAAAUGUGCUGCUUCCAGGCCUAGCACAAAGGAAUUCUGGUGUGUACACCUUUGUGGCUGACAGGGAUGGAGACAACAGGUCCACUCCAGAGGCCCCAUGGCUUGAAGAUAGCAGAACCAUUGGGUGGGUUCCAUCAGGAGGAUUUCCUGGAUGACCAUGUGUGGAAUUCUGCUUUCCCCUACCAAGACCACUUUCCUUGGACAGUUUUGUAAAUGAGGGGUAAAAUAUAUAUUAUGUUUGAGCUAUAUUAUAUUUUUGUUUUUUGAUCUUUAUUUGUUAAAGUAGUCAAUAUUAUCUUAACUAAUACAAGGUAGCAAGAGGUACUUCUGUACAGGAGAAACUAAUGUUAAUAAAAUAUAGUCCCUCCCUAUCCAUUCCACAUCAGUGAUCCUGGUUCCAUUUGUCUUUUGAAAUAGCAGGACAGGUAAGUCUGAGUCCCUCGUGGAGCCCAGAAAAGGCCAUGCUCACCUCUUCUCCAGUUUCUGUUCUUCCUUGAUCUGGCAAGGCUGUCCCCUCAUCUCUCUCCAUUCAUGCAUUUCUCAAGGCCAAGCUCAAGGCCCAUUCAUCAUGAUGAGACCUUUUCCUGUUUUGAAGCCACUAUUAUUCUCAAUUAUUAUUUGAGAAUCUUAUUAUUAAUUUGACAUUUAUUUACAUUAUUAUUUGGUUAUUUGGUUAACUGUUUCAGGACUGAAUUCUUAGAAUGAUGCAACGAUCGUUUCAUUUUUCUUGCAGUCCUAUCAGUAUCUACUGCACAUAGUGAAUGCUCAAACCAACAGACAUUAAAUGCAUUACUUAGUGAGAAGUCUUCAGGUUAAAAAUGUGAAUAAUGCAAAAAAUACAUUAGGUUAUUUUGUAGAGGACAUCUGUAAGGGGGGAAUAAGAGCAUUGUUUCGUUGAGAUUAAGGAAUCCUCAUGUAUAAUGAUACAAUUUUUAACUCAUAAAUUUUAUAUUUAAUAUAGUACCAAGGCACUCUAUUAAGUAUUUUAUCUAUUUUUAAUCUCAAUUAAUCCUUCUGACAGUCUUGUCAUGUAACUAUUGUUUUGUCCAUUUUAUAAAUGAAAAAAUAGAGAUCCAGGAAAGUUAUUUAAAUUUCUUAAGUUAUCUAACUUUCUUACUUAACCAGUAAAUGACAAGAGAGAAUUCAAAUCUAACUCAAUCUGAAUCUUAUACCUACUGCUUUCCUCACCUAUAUUAAAAUAUCUUCCAUUUCUAAUUGGUAAAGACAGUUCCUGCCAAAGAACGUGUAGACUCAUGGGAUGGUACAUCUUGUGGCCACUUUCAUAACUCGGACUAUACAUCAAGUAGAUUGGAAGUGUAUAUAUUUUCUUUAACAAGCUAACCAAAAUGUAUAAUUGAAAAAUGACAUGUAGUAUGUUAACUGUCGAAGAAAUAUUCCAUGCAGCCAAAGAGAAGAAAAAAAUAAGGAUAUUGAAAAAAAAUGUAAUGAAAACAUUUCUCAUUAUUCUGAUUUUAUAGGAUAAUUUAAUAAAAAAUUGUCU